CCCACACCCAUGUGUGUAGGAUCCUAAAGGAUCACCAUUAAAUUUGACACAGAUCUCUAAAAACGUUAUCACCUGGGUGUGGGACUUGAUUUUUUUAAAGAUCUGUGUCAAAUUUAAUGGUGAUUCUUUGGGGUCCUACACACAUAGGUGUGGG
RNAcentral lists this microRNA precursor (154 nucleotides) under Amborella trichopoda. RNAcentral describes it as "MIR8565 microRNA precursor family". It matches the Rfam family "MIR8565 microRNA precursor family". The record is from Rfam by way of RNAcentral. Lineage: Eukaryota; Viridiplantae; Streptophyta; Magnoliopsida; Amborellales; Amborellaceae.